AGGUUUGUAAUAAUAUUUCCAAUUACAUCUCUUGCAGAAAACGUCAUUGAAAAACCUUUAUCUUCCUUAACAAUAUUUCAGCAGUCCUAAAGGAAAGGCAUAGUAAAACAAUUUGUACUGAAUUGGUUUAUCUGGUUUAUCCCUAUUUAUUUCAGAAUUUGCCCUCAUAACCUAUUCUUUCUCAUAGAGACUCUCAAACAAUCUAGUGCUUUUUCAGAGA
Molecule: unclassified non-coding RNA, 220 nt
Filed under: Hevea brasiliensis (rubber tree)
Lineage: Eukaryota; Viridiplantae; Streptophyta; Magnoliopsida; Malpighiales; Euphorbiaceae
Source: RNAcentral